This 402-nucleotide transfer-messenger RNA is filed under the name Mycoplasmoidaceae. RNAcentral's name for it is "Malacoplasma_A sp002372615 Standard tmRNA". It matches the Rfam family "transfer-messenger RNA". Rfam says of the family: Bacterial tmRNA, also known as 10Sa RNA or SsrA, is named for its dual tRNA and mRNA-like properties. Lineage: Bacteria; Bacillati; Mycoplasmatota; Mycoplasmoidales. The record is from RNAcentral. RNAcentral also lists the same sequence under 1 other name.
GGGGAUGUCAUGGGUUCGACAUGAUUAAUGAUUAUUCAAAUGCAGUGGGGUAAUGCCCCUUAUAGCAUGAGAUCUAAUUAAAUGCAGAUCACAAUCUAGGUAAUGUUAAUCUAAACCAAUCAUUUAUGAUUAAUCAAUUAUCAAAUCAAGCUAAUUUAAAUUUAAAUAUUUAAUUUUAGCGGGAUAUGAGUUAAAGUUUUAUAUUUUUACUUUAGUUCAUUAAUAUAAAAAUAUAUGUUUAUAUGAUGCUAAUAAUAUAAAUGAAUUUAAUUUUAGCUAUCUCUAAUGAUGGACGUUUACAUUCAGAUAUACAUUAGAUGAAGAUUACAACUGUAAACUAAACUGUAGAUUUUGCUUAUGAUUUAAUUGUGGAAAUGGGUUCAAUUCCCAUCAUCUCCACCA